Dioscorea cayenensis subsp. rotundata (Guinea yam) is the source of this 107-nucleotide small nucleolar RNA. NCBI's taxonomy places the organism in Eukaryota, Viridiplantae, Streptophyta, Magnoliopsida, Dioscoreales, Dioscoreaceae. The record is from RefSeq and is a predicted model, not a curated record.
AACCUAUGCCGAGGAAAUUUCCGUAGGAGAUCCUUGAACCUAUCCCAUGUCUUAAAAAGAGACUCUAAUUCCAUUUGCACAAAAGAGGAUAUUUCAUUCCUGAGCAU